CACGCAGUAAACGAUGAUUACUAGCUGUUUGCGAUACACAGUAAGCGGCACAGCGAAAGCGUUAAGUAAUCCACCUGGGGAGUACGCCGGCAACGGUGAAACUCAAAGGAAUUGACGGGGGCCCGCACAAGCGGAGGAACAUGUGGUUUAAUUCGAUGAUACGCGAGGAACCUUACCCGGGUUUGAACGUAGGGAGACAGGGGUGGAAACAUCCUUUUCAGCAAUGACUGCCUACGAGGUGCUGCAUGGUUGUCGUCAGCUCGUGCCGUGAGGUGUCGGCUUAAGUGCCAUAACGAGCGCAACCCUUAUUUCAGUUACUAACAGGUGAUGCUGAGGACUCUGGAGAGACUGCCAGCGUAAGCUGU
Molecule: ribosomal RNA, 365 nt
Filed under: uncultured bacterium
Lineage: Bacteria
Description: bacterial SSU rRNA
Rfam family: Bacterial small subunit ribosomal RNA
Source: RNAcentral